UACAGAGGUCUCAAGUGUUGUUCGGAUUCAUUGGGCGUAAAGGGUGCGUAGGCGGCGGGGCAAGUCGGAUGUGAAAUCUCAGGGCUCAACCCUGAAACUGCAUUCGAUACUGCCUUGCUCGAGGACUGGAGAGGAGAUUGGAAUUCACGGUGUAGCAGUGAAAUGCGUAGAUAUCGUGAGGAAGACCAGUGGCGAAGGCGGAUCUCUGGACAGUUCCUGACGCUGAGGCACGAAGGCCAGGGGAGCAAACGGG
Molecule: ribosomal RNA, 253 nt
Filed under: uncultured bacterium
Lineage: Bacteria
Description: partial 16S ribosomal RNA
Rfam family: Bacterial small subunit ribosomal RNA
Source: RNAcentral